CGAUUCGAGGUGGCGGACGGGUGAGUAACGCGUGGGUAACCUGCCUUACACAGGGGGAUAACACCUGGAAACAGGUGCUAAUACCGCAUAAGCGCACAGGGCCGCAUGGCCCGGUGUGAAAAACUCCGGUGGUGUAAGAUGGACCCGCGUCUGAUUAGCUUGUUGGCGGGGUAGGGGCCCACCAAGGCGACGAUCAGUAGCCGGCCUGAGAGGGUGGACGGCCACAUUGGGACUGAGACACGGCCCAAACUCCUACGGGAGGCAGCAG
This 268-nucleotide ribosomal RNA is filed under the name uncultured bacterium. RNAcentral describes it as "partial 16S ribosomal RNA". It matches the Rfam family "Bacterial small subunit ribosomal RNA", at positions 86 to 354 of the family's 1533-position model. The record is from RNAcentral.